This is a long non-coding RNA of Ruditapes philippinarum (Manila clam), 922 nucleotides long. RefSeq lists it as uncharacterized. NCBI's taxonomy places the organism in Eukaryota, Metazoa, Mollusca, Bivalvia, Venerida, Veneridae. The transcript is spliced from 3 exons. The record is from RefSeq and is a predicted model, not a curated record.
GACAAUUCAUAAAACUGUUGUCAAUAGGGUAUGUAAGUCUCGUCAUGUGACUUGCGAGAUUUCACGAUAUUUUGCACUUCCGGGUACAAACAAACAUCAACAACAUUGCUUAUCUAUAUUGGGUAAUACUUGUAUGCCGGUGGGAAAGUAAAACUUACAUGGAAAAGCAAAUGAUAUGUGGAAAUGGCAGAGUUUUUUGUUUUGUAACGAAAUGCAAAUGGUUUCAUCUUGUGAACAAGUAUCAAUGAAAGACAACUUCGUAUAAUCUUCAGAUAUUUUGACUGAGGACUGUAAAGUGGUGAGAUGAAAGACGUGAACUGGUAUCCGAUGUUAAUACACAUGCAUGCUCUGCUGUAAAAUCGUUUUGGUAUGUGAUUUCUUGGUUGGAUCUUGAGUACUUGUCAUGGCUCUUGAUUUAUUUUGGAGUGUUCACCAUCAGAUUAGAAGUCAAAUAGUGAUACCACCAGGCAUAGUUGAAAGGAAAUGUCCAUACACAGUCUUGGAGUACAUAGUGGUAGAGACAUGGCAGUCCAUUACAGAUUUUGACUGAAUUAAAGCUUCUUAAAGCUCCAUGUCUUGUGUAAACUGUCUGACUGAAUGUUUGUAUUCUAAUAAAAACUAAGGUUGAAGACACUUCAAAGAUAUAUGUCAGUGUAAAAAUGUUAUUUAAACAAAAUAUCUGUCUUUGUUAGAAAUAAAUAACCUGUCUUUAUUAGAAAUAAUUAACCUGUCAUUUGUAACUUUGUAUUAACUUAAUUAUUCAAAGAUAAUUUAUCUUCUGCAAAUGGCUGCCCCAAAAACAGUUUCAACCAGGCAUCAUGUAGUUUCAAAACAGUUAAGAUAAAUUUGUUAUAAAUAGACUUGUAAAGUAACAGGAAUGGUAAAAAGAUAAAUGUUCAGCAUUAAAAUGUUUCUAUCUUGA